RNAcentral lists this long non-coding RNA (601 nucleotides) under Phaseolus vulgaris (common bean). RNAcentral describes it as "long non-coding RNA (PVUL_LNC000831)". The record is from RNAcentral. Lineage: Eukaryota; Viridiplantae; Streptophyta; Magnoliopsida; Fabales; Fabaceae.
AUAUUCUGGUUGGUGAUGGGAGCACCACUGCCAAGAUCCUGUGCGUGGAAUAAGUUAGAAUAUAUUUAAAAUUAAUUAACAAUUUUUAAAAAUAAAUGAAAACAAUAUUAUAAUAAAAACACACAAUAAUUGAAAUCAGUGUCUGAAAAACACAACAAAAUCAAAUAUAAACAACUCCAAUACAAUAAUGUAUACUAACAAUUGAUGAAAAGCACUUCAAAGACACUAUCUGGAUGGGGUAAUGUGGCAAGAUUAGACCCCUGCAUGAUAAUCAAAUAGACUAAAAUUAUAAGAAUCAAUGAAAAAUAUAGGUAACAAUUUUCCUGGAGAUUGUACUAACCGAUCCAUCGAGCUUGCUAGAAAGUACUGUUCAUCAAACUGAAGUGACACCAAACUAGUGUCAAACCCACAAUAAAUUACAUAAAAUAAUAAAAAAUCAACCAUAUUCAAUUGAAGAUACAUGUCAAGUAGAUAAUUUAACAGGGAAAAAGGAUAACUAACGAAGAUAUAGACGAAGGCAUCCUAAUUGUAUGAGAAGCAUAUAUGUCACCUUUGAGGUGCAAUUAGGGUGAAACAUAAGCACGUCAACUAUAGACAAAGC